This is a long non-coding RNA of Xenia sp. Carnegie-2017, 861 nucleotides long. RefSeq lists it as uncharacterized. NCBI's taxonomy places the organism in Eukaryota, Metazoa, Cnidaria, Anthozoa, Malacalcyonacea, Xeniidae. The transcript has 3 exons. The record is from RefSeq and is a predicted model, not a curated record.
ACACAAGUAAAUAUAAUCACAACGCAAGUAAAAUAUGAAAUACUGGAAAUUCUUUUUGUGAAGUGGAAACAUUGUUGUGAUAUUUUGCAAAAUGGCGCUUGUUUAAAUUUGUUCCACGAAAAACCAGACUUAUUAUAAAUUAUAUUCAAUAUAUUGCUUGAUGGAUAGCAAAAAAAAUGUUUUGUUCAAACUGUGGUAUAGAAAGUGUGGAAAAUGCGAAUUACUGUUAUAAAUGUGGCAACUCCUUCGAACCGAUGCGCGAAAAACUUGAAGAAUCUGCAAACCAGACUGGAAAGUAUGCCUUGCGCAACCUAGAUCUAGCUUGCGCAAUUUCGGGAGAAAUGCGCGUCCUGACGCGCAGAUUUUAAAAAAUUUCUUGUUCGCCGCGCAUUUGUGAAAUUUGCCGCGCAGCGCGAGAAAUUAUUGCGCAAUAUCAGCACAUGUGCGCUGCAGCGCUGUUGUUUCCGUUGAAAAAAAUUGUUGCCUGUUGAAUGUCAAUCUUACAAGCUGUUUUGACAGGCAAGUUCCGUUAAUUGGUUGGUAAGCCAAUAAGCGUUUGAUGACUAGAAAUAUGAUAUCUGAGCAGAUUAACUACACAUUCUUUGCUUUCGUUUUUCGAGCUUUCUCUUUUUAAGUGACUUCAAGGCAAACCAUAUCGAUUCUUCGGUGUAUUCUACGGUGAUACGUGAUAUUUAAUUAAACCAACUUGGGGUGUUCAAAUUUGUAAGAUGGCUGAGAUUCAAGCAGUUAAAUCAGUUUGCGUUUCAUGCAAGAAGGAAUGUGGAAGCCAUUUUUGCAAAGUUUGCAAAAAAACGUGCCACGCAAUUCCGCCUUGCUCAACAUCAGCAGGUGAUGAUGAAG